UAAAAGUAUAAGUCUUAAGCAUAGGUCUCAGACACUUAUGCAGCUUUACGUUUUUCUUCCUGAGUUAGCUAGCUAAUCUGCUAAAAUCGUUUUUUAGUUGACACCAUCCAGUAUAAACGAGAAUAUGUCCAACUCCAUUGACCACGAAGAAGGCAACAUGGAGCUUUCUUUAUCCAAAGCUAUGGAGGAUGUCAGUCACCAUAGCUUUGCCCAGGAGGAGGCCCUCAAGGAGAAGCAGAGAACCUUCAGCUCCCUGCAGGCAACUCUGUUAGACCUUGAGAAAAAAUGUGACGCUGCAGAGCAGGAACUGGGCUCUAGAGAAAGGGAAAUCCUGAUACUUGAAGGUGAGGCGGUGCGCCUGAACAGGCAGGCGACCGCUCUAUACGAACGCAGUGAAUCCGUCAACCGGGAAAUCACGGAGCUCCAGAUUCAAAUAUGUAACGCGGAAGAGGACGCUCAUCUGGCGGUGGCCAGAUUUAACAGUUACAGAAACAAGAUGGAGUGCCACCGGGAAGCUGUUUUCAGUGCUGCAAGGUGUACAGAGGCCCAGGAGGAGUUUGAGAGGAGGAAGGAAAUGAUCUGGAGUCUGAGGGAAAAGAGGGACCAGCUGAGGGAGGAUUUGAAGGAUCCAAAUGGAAACAUAGUACUGAUGGCAAAGAAAGAGACGGAUGCUUUGAGGAGGGAGGUCUCCGAGAGGAGGAUGACUGCAGCUGAGAUGAGAGAACACCUGAAGCAAGAGCAGGAAACCCAUGAUAACUUGAAGAAAGACAUAGAAAUCCAAAACAGGCGCCAUGAAGCCAUUGUUAAACGCCUCCGCUGCCAACUGAGCAGAGCUCAGGCCAUUCACAGGCACAUGUCAGGUGAAAUCCACCACCUGCAGAACCACCUAACUGAGAUGAGGAGUCAGCAGCCAUCAUCACAGGACUCAGAAGUCCUUUAGAUGUCACAAACUUUGUGAUUUGAAUCAGUUUUGUUAUGAUAGUUUUGCAGUUUUUGUUAGUUUAGCAAGAAUUUGUUGUUGCUGUUGUUACUACUGUUGGACACCUGGGGGCGACAUUUCCCACCAAAUGUGUGGCUUUUGUUUCACUCAACAGAUAUAAACAAGAAGGUCAGGUGAAGACAGUGAAUCCUUUCUUGCACAGCAGAGGCAAAACAAAAAAGUCGAUGAGGAGCUGCUCCACUCGGAACAGAUUGUUCCAGCUUCUGCUCGGCUGGGCAAUCCAACGGUUCGGAGAUGACAGUCCCACCGUCGGCUAACGAGGGCGUGACUGUGCCUGUUCACCCAUACCUCAAACCAAUUAAACAAUGAAAUGAGUCCACAUCAGAUUCCAGCAGCCUCAGAGAGGAGCUGUAACCAAUACAUGCUCUUCAUUUGCAUAGUCUUGCUGCAUGAGUUGAUGACUGUGUGAUAGUUGGGGAAAAAAGCCAAACGAAAGUUGUUAAAGUCAGAAUUAGUCAUUACUAAAACUAAUUGGGAACAAUUCUCACGCUGAAAAAUACUUUUCACUUACAUGUUUUAAGUUUUUUUUUUUUUUUUUAAAUAAAACCAAAGAAAAUAAGAGUGCUUUGUCCAGGAAAUAAGCCAAGUACCGAAAAACAAAAAUGUGACGGCUUAAAAUAAUCAUGGCUCAUAUUAUAGUUUUUUUCUGAAUCUGGAGAUGAAGGAGUGACACAGCACUAUGAGCUAAGUGCUUGACUCUCAACCGCACUUUAGUUUAUCUUUGAAAUGAGCUGUGGGAGUUUAAUUAGCCGGUCUGUGUCUGCUGUUUGUCUGACUAUAGGCUCUUAAAGACUCACUGCAGGCGCAAAAAUGUUGUCUGCAAGG
This is an RNA transcript of Oryzias melastigma (Indian medaka), 1825 nucleotides long. It is a transcript of the gene named coiled-coil domain-containing protein 122, with no coding region annotated. NCBI's taxonomy places the organism in Eukaryota, Metazoa, Chordata, Actinopteri, Beloniformes, Adrianichthyidae. The transcript has 7 exons. The record is from RefSeq and is a predicted model, not a curated record.